GAAUUCGCCCUUAGAGUUUGAUCCUGGCUCAGGACGAACGCUGGCGGCGUGCCUAACACAUGCAAGUCGAGCGGAGACAGUGAGUAGCUUGCUAUGAGCUGUUUUAGCGGCGGACGGGUGAGUAACGCGUGAGCAACCUUUCCCAGACAGGGGAAUAACACACCGAAAGGUGUACUAAUACCGCAUAAGACCACGGGAUCACAUGGUUCUGAGGUAAAAGAUUUAUCGGUUUGGGGUGGGCUCGCGUCCGAUUAGGUAGUUGGUGAGGUAACGGCCCACCAAGCCGACGAUCGGUAGCCGACCUGAGAGGGUGAUCGGCCACAUUGGGACUGAGACACGGCCCAAACUCCUACGGGAGGCAGCAGUGGGGAAUAUUGGGCAAUGGAGGAAACUCUGACCCAGCAACGCCGCGUGGAGGAAGAAGGUUUUCGGAUCGUAAACUCCUGUCGUUAGGGACGAUAAUGACGGUACCUAACAAGAAAGCACCGGCUAACUACGUGCCAGCAGCCGCGGUAAAACGUAGGGUGCAAGCGUUGUCCGGAAUUACUGGGUGUAAAGGGAGCGCAGGCGGGAAGACAAGUUGGAAGUGAAAACCAUGGGCUCAACCCAUGAAUUGCUUUCAAAACUGUUUUUCUUGAGUAGUGCAGAGGUAGAUGGAAUUCCCGGUGUAGCGGUGGAAUGCGUAGAUAUCGGGAGGAACACCAGUGGCGAAGGCGGUCUACUGGGCACCAACUGACGCUGAGGCUCGAAAGCAUGGGUAGCAAACAGGAUUAGAUACCCUGGUAGUCCAUGCCGUAAACGAUGAUUACUAGGUGUUGGGGGAUUGACCCCCUCAGUGCCGCAGUUAACACAAUAAGUAAUCCACCUGGGGAGUACGACCGCAAGGUUGAAACUCAAAGGAAUUGACGGGGGCCCGCACAAGCAGUGGAGUAUGUGGUUUAAUUCGAAGCAACGCGAAGAACCUUACCAGGUCUUGACAUCCGAUGCAUAGCACAGAGAUGUGUGAAAUCCUUCGGGACAUCGAGACAGGUGGUGCAUGGUUGUCGUCAGCUCGUGUCGUGAGAUGUUGGGUUAAGUCCCGCAACGAGCGCAACCCUUAUUGCCAGUUACUACGUUAAGAGGACUCUGGCGAGACUGCCGUUGACAAAACGGAGGAAGGUGGGGACGACGUCAAAUCAUCAUGCCCCUUAUGACCUGGGCUACACACGUGCUACAAUGGCCACGACAGAGAGAAGCGAAAUCGUAAGGUAGAGCGGAACUCAAAAAAGUGGUCCCAGUUCGGAUUGUGGGCUGCAACCCGCCCACAUGAAGUCGGAGUUGCUAGUAAUCGCGGAUCAGCAUGCCGCGGUGAAUACGUUCCCGGGCCUUGCACACACCGCCCGUCA
This 1385-nucleotide ribosomal RNA is filed under the name uncultured bacterium. Its description in RNAcentral is "bacterial SSU rRNA". It matches the Rfam family "Bacterial small subunit ribosomal RNA". The record is from RNAcentral.